This is a ribosomal RNA of Cavia aperea (Brazilian guinea pig), 113 nucleotides long. Lineage: Eukaryota; Metazoa; Chordata; Mammalia; Rodentia; Caviidae. The record is from Ensembl.
GUCUAGGGCCAUAUCACCGUGAACGCACCCGACCUUGUCUGAUCUCGGAAGCUAAGCACGGUCAGGCCUGGUUCAUACUAGGAUGGGAGACGUUGACUUGGCCAUCCUUCAGU